This 253-nucleotide ribosomal RNA is filed under the name uncultured organism. RNAcentral's name for it is "partial 16S ribosomal RNA". It matches the Rfam family "Bacterial small subunit ribosomal RNA", at positions 524 to 776 of the family's 1533-position model. The record is from RNAcentral.
UACAUAGGGGGCAAGCGUUAUCCGGAAUUAUUGGGCGUAAAGCGUGCGUAGGCGGCCACUUAAGUCUGUCGUGAAAGCCCACAGCUUAACUGUGGAGGGUCGAUGGAAACUGAGAGGCUUGAAUCUAGGAGAGGUAAGUGGAAUUCCAUGUGUAGCGGUAAAAUGCUUAGAUAUAUGGAGGAACACCAGUGGCGAAGGCGGCUUACUGGUCUAGAAUUGACGCUGAUGCACGAAAGCGUGGGUAGCAAACAGG